This 59-nucleotide transfer RNA is filed under the name Cernuella virgata. RNAcentral describes it as "tRNA-Phe". Lineage: Eukaryota; Metazoa; Mollusca; Gastropoda; Stylommatophora; Geomitridae. The record is from RNAcentral.
GAUUAUGUAGUGUAAAUAACACAUUGCUUUGAAGGGGCAAAGAUAUAUCUUCGUAAUCG